GUGAACGCUGGCGGUAGGCCUAACACAUGCAAGUCGAACGGCAGCACAGUAAGAGCUUGCUCUUACGGGUGGCGAGUGGCGGACGGGUGAGGAAUACAUCGGAAUCUACUUUUUCGUGGGGGAUAACGUAGGGAAACUUACGCUAAUACCGCAUACGACCUACGGGUGAAAGCAGUGGAUCUUCGGACCUUGCGCGUUUGAAUGAGCCGAUGUCGGAUUAGCUAGUUGGCGGGGUAAAGGCCCACCAAGGCGACGAUCCGUAGCUGGUCGGAGAGGAUGAUCAGCCACACUGGGACUGAGGCACGGUCCAGACUCCUACGGGAGGCAGCAGUGGGGAAUAUUGGACAAUGGGCGCAAGCCUGAUCCAGCCAUACCGCGGGGGUGAAGAAGGCCUUCGGGUUGUAAAGCCCUUUUGUUGGGAAAGAAAAGCAGCAGGUUAAUACCCCGCUGUUCUGACGGUACCCAAAGAAUAAGCACCGGCUAACUUCGUG
RNAcentral lists this ribosomal RNA (491 nucleotides) under uncultured bacterium. Its description in RNAcentral is "partial 16S ribosomal RNA". It matches the Rfam family "Bacterial small subunit ribosomal RNA", at positions 29 to 507 of the family's 1533-position model. The record is from RNAcentral.